CCAAUAGCUUUGGUUAAUAUAUCUGCCUCUUGUUCUGCUGACCGGACAUGUUGCAAUUUGAUAAAUCCUUUUGUCACUUUCUCACGCACAAAGUGAUAAUCUAGCUCAAUAUGUUUCAUCCA
Neltuma alba is the source of this 122-nucleotide long non-coding RNA. RefSeq lists it as uncharacterized. The record is from RefSeq and is a predicted model, not a curated record. The transcript is spliced from 4 exons. Lineage: Eukaryota; Viridiplantae; Streptophyta; Magnoliopsida; Fabales; Fabaceae.